UUGAACGCUGGCGGCAUGCUUUACACAUGCAAGUCGAACGGUAACAGGCCGCAAGGUGCUGACGAGUGGCGAACGGGUGAGUAAUGCAUCGGAACGUGCCCAGUCGUGGGGGAUAACUACUCGAAAGAGUAGCUAAUACCGCAUACGAUCUAUGGAUGAAAGCGGGGGACCGUAAGGCCUCGCGCGAUUGGAGCGGCCGAUGUCAGAUUAGGUAGUUGGUGGGGUAAAGGCUCACCAAGCCAACGAUCUGUAGCUGGUCUGAGAGGACGACCAGCCACACUGGGACUGAGACACGGCCCAGACUCCUACGGGAGGCAGCAGUGGGGAAUUUUGGACAAUGGGCGCAAGCCUGAUCCAGCAAUGCCGCGUGCAGGAAGAAGGCCUUCGGGUUGUAAACUGCUUAUGUACGGAACGAAACGGCUCUGGUUAAUACCCGGGGCUAAUGACGGUACCGUAAGAAUAAGCACCGGCUAACUACGUG
This 481-nucleotide ribosomal RNA is filed under the name uncultured bacterium. RNAcentral's name for it is "partial 16S ribosomal RNA". It matches the Rfam family "Bacterial small subunit ribosomal RNA", at positions 30 to 507 of the family's 1533-position model. The record is from RNAcentral.